RNAcentral lists this ribosomal RNA (216 nucleotides) under Glomeromycotina sp. RNAcentral describes it as "partial small subunit ribosomal RNA". The stretch from base 44 to 216 matches the Rfam family "Eukaryotic small subunit ribosomal RNA", at positions 690 to 864 of the family's 1831-position model. Lineage: Eukaryota; Fungi; Glomeromycota. The record is from RNAcentral.
GGGUCAGUAGGUUGGUCGUGCCACCGGUACGUACUGGUCCCACUGAUUCCUCCUUCCUGAAGGACCGUAAUGCCAUUAAUUUGGUGUUGCGGGGAAACAGGACUGCUACUUUGAAAAAAUUAGAGUGUUUAAAGCAAGCUAACGCUUGAAUACAUUAGCAUGGAAUAAUGAAAUAGGACGAUCGAUCCUAUUUUGUUGGUUUCUAGGAUUGACGUA